AUGAGGACUGAGUCUUUUUAUUUUCGAAGAGUUGUUUCUACAAUGUAAAUGCAUCCGGGUGUUGAAAACCAUUUAACACCAACCUAUACCUUACGGUAUAGUUUUAAACAUGAAUGAUUGUACAGUGGACAAGAGACUUUCUAAUCAUAAAGCAACUUGUUUUCCCAUCAGAAAAUUUCCAAUCUGUACAUUUAUCACAACAGUCUAUUAGGCAAUAUUUCAAAAUUACCAUCUGCCAAUUGUUCCUUCUGAUGAAACAUCAAAAGAAUGAAACAAGUUGGUAUCUUGUGCAAGUCAACAUAUACUGACCCUCGGCUAGUUAUAGCCAGCAACGACAACAAUGCUGACGAUUUAGAAUUCAUCGUUGGAAAAACCUUCAAGAAAAUAGUGGCAUCAGACAGUCGUUACAAACACAUAGGCGCACAUGUCAGCAGAUCCAGCAGCCAUUUUUGUAGACCAUAUGCGUUAAUAUGUGUUAUUCAAACUGAAUGUAAAAGAGGAAAAGCAUGUUUAAGUAGUCAGGAUUUAUCUCUGUUAGCAUCGUCUAGAUAUUUCAAGGAAGCAUCUGAUACCAUUGUAUAUGUCAUACAGAAUACCACACAAAAUCAGAACUACACAGCUGAUGACCUGAUGACUGUCAGUAAUGAAAUU
Mytilus californianus (California mussel) is the source of this 651-nucleotide long non-coding RNA. RefSeq lists it as uncharacterized. The record is from RefSeq and is a predicted model, not a curated record. NCBI's taxonomy places the organism in Eukaryota, Metazoa, Mollusca, Bivalvia, Mytilida, Mytilidae. The transcript has 3 exons.